AGGAUAAAUAAUUGUACGUGGCAUUCGCGCUGUAAACCAAGAAAUCUGAGAUAAAAAUUGGUUACUACUCCUCUUUUUUCAGAUUUAAGAUACCAGCAAUGAGAUGGAACAAUAUCAAUCUCAGGAAAUAAUUUUUUUGGAGUCUAUUCCAAUAAAUCAGAAAGUGAAGAUUAACGGGGAUUGGAGAACUGCCAAGAACUUUCUGGAAAAUAGUAUAGGUGGAUUAGGGAAAACCCGGAUAUCUAAGAAUAUACAUACAGGAUGUUUUAAAGGUUUCAGACGAUAUGUAUAUAGUCAAGGCACUGAUGAUAUGUAAAAUUUUAAAAUAAAGGUUACAAAAAGUGCAGUAUUUUUUAUUGGGGGGGGGGGG
RNAcentral lists this long non-coding RNA (370 nucleotides) under Eurytemora carolleeae. RNAcentral describes it as "uncharacterized LOC111698653". Lineage: Eukaryota; Metazoa; Arthropoda; Copepoda; Calanoida; Temoridae. The record is from RNAcentral.